GAGUUUGAUCCUGGCUCAGGACGAACGCUGGCGGCGUGCCUAAUACAUGCAAGUCGAACGAACUCUGGUAUUGAUUGGUGCUUGCAUCAUGAUUUACAUUUGAGUGAGUGGCGAACUGGUGAGUAACACGUGGGAAACCUGCCCAGAAGCGGGGGAUAACACCUGGAAACAGACGCUAAUACCGCAUAACAACUUGGACCGCAUGGUCCGAGUUUGAAAGAUGGCUUCGGCUAUCACUUUUGGAUGGUCCCGCGGCGUAUUAGCUAGAUGGUGGGGUAACGGCUCACCAUGGCAAUGAUACGUAGCCGACCUGAGAGGGUAAUCGGCCACAUUGGGACUGAGACACGGCCCAAACUCCUACGGGAGGCAGCAGUAGGGAAUCUUCCACAAUGGACGAAAGUCUGAUGGAGCAACGCCGCGUGAGUGAAGAAGGGUUUCGGCUCGUAAAACUCUGUUGUUAAAGAAGAACAUAUCUGAGAGUAACUGUUCAGGUAUUGACGGUAUUUAACCAGAAAGCCACGGCUAACUACGUGCCAGCAGCCGCGGUAAUACGUAGGUGGCAAGCGUUGUCCGGAUUUAUUGGGCGUAAAGCGAGCGCAGGCGGUUUUUUAAGUCUGAUGUGAAAGCCUUCGGCUCAACCGAAGAAGUGCAUCGGAAACUGGAAAACUUGAGUGCAGAAGAGGACAGUGGAACUCCAUGUGUAGCGGUGAAAUGCGUAGAUAUAUGGAAGAACACCAGUGGCGAAGGCGGCUGUCUGGUCUGUAACUGACGCUGAGGCUCGAAAGUAUGGGUAGCAAACAGGAUUAGAUACCCUGGUAGUCCAUACCGUAAACGAUGAAUGCUAAGUGUUGGAGGGUUUCCGCCCUUCAGUGCUGCAGCUAACGCAUUAAGCAUUCCGCCUGGGGAGUACGGCCGCAAGGCUGAAACUCAAAGGAAUUGACGGGGGCCCGCACAAGCGGUGGAGCAUGUGGUUUAAUUCGAAGCUACGCGAAGAACCUUACCAGGUCUUGACAUACUAUGCAAAUCUAAGAGAUUAGACGUUCCCUUCGGGGACAUGGAUACAGGUGGUGCAUGGUUGUCGUCAGCUCGUGUCGUGAGAUGUUGGGUUAAGUCCCGCAACGAGCGCAACCCUUAUUAUCAGUUGCCAGCAUUAAGUUGGGCACUCUGGUGAGACUGCCGGUGACAAACCGGAGGAAGGUGGGGAUGACGUCAAAUCAUCAUGCCCCUUAUGACCUGGGCUACACACGUGCUACAAUGGAUGGUACAACGAGUUGCGAACUCGCGAGAGUAAGCUAAUCUCUUAAAGCCAUUCUCAGUUCGGAUUGUAGGCUGCAACUCGCCUACAUGAAGUCGGAAUCGCUAGUAAUCGCGGAUCAGCAUGCCGCGGUGAAUACGUUCCCGGGCCUUGUACACACCGCCCGUCACACCAUGAGAGUUUGUAACACCCAAAGUCGGUGGGGUAACCUUUUAGGAACCAGCCGCCUAAGGUGGGACAGAUGAUUAGGGUG
Molecule: ribosomal RNA, 1508 nt
Filed under: Lactiplantibacillus pentosus
Lineage: Bacteria; Bacillati; Bacillota; Bacilli; Lactobacillales; Lactobacillaceae
Description: partial 16S ribosomal RNA
Rfam family: Bacterial small subunit ribosomal RNA
Source: RNAcentral